UAAUGCCUAGGAAUCUGCCUGGUAGUGGGGGAUAACGCUCGGAAACGGACGCUAAUACCGCAUACGUCCUACGGGAGAAAGCAGGGGACCUUCGGGCCUUGCGCUAUCAGAUGAGCCUAGGUCGGAUUAGCUAGUUGGUGAGGUAAUGGCUCACCAAGGCGACGAUCCGUAACUGGUCUGAGAGGAUGAUCAGUCACACUGGAACUGAGACACGGUCCAGACUCCUACGGGAGGCAGCAGUGGGGAAUAUUGGACAAUGGGCGAAAGCCUGAUCCAGCCAUGCCGCGUGUGUGAAGAAGGUCUUCGGAUUGUAAAGCACUUUAAGUUGGGAGGAAGGGCAGUUACCUAAUACGUAUCUGUUUUGACGUUACCGACAGAAUAAGCACCGGCUAACUCUGUGCCAGCAGCCGCGGUAAUACAGAGGGUGCAAGCGUUAAUCGGAAUUACUGGGCGUAAAGCGCGCGUAGGUGGUUUGUUAAGUUGGAUGUGAAAUCCCCGGGCUCAACCUGGGAAC
Molecule: ribosomal RNA, 514 nt
Filed under: Pseudomonas sp.
Lineage: Bacteria; Pseudomonadati; Pseudomonadota; Gammaproteobacteria; Pseudomonadales; Pseudomonadaceae
Description: bacterial SSU rRNA
Rfam family: Bacterial small subunit ribosomal RNA
Source: RNAcentral